AGAGUUUGAUCAUGGCUCAGGACGAACGCUGGCGGCGUGCCUAAUACAUGCAAGUCGAGCGAAUCUUUAGGAGCUUGCUCCUAUUGGUUAGCGGCGGACGGGUGAGUAACACGUGGGCAACCUACCUAUAAGACUGGGAUAACUUCGGGAAACCGUAGCUAAUACCGGAUAAUCCUUUUCCUCUCAUGAGGAAAAGCUGAAAGACGGUUUACGCUGUCACUUAUGGAUGGGCCCGCGGCGCAUUAGCUAGUUGGUGAGGUAACGGCUCACCAAGGCAACGAUGCGUAGCCGACCUGAGAGGGUGAUCGGCCACACUGGGACUGAGACACGGCCCAGACUCCUACGGGAGGCAGCAGUAGGGAAUCUUCCACAAUGGACGAAAGUCUGAUGGAGCAACGCCGCGUGAGCGAUGAAGGCCUUCGGGUCGUAAAGCUCUGUUGUUAGGGAAGAACAAGUACCGGAGUAACUGCCGGUACCAUGACGGUACCUAACCAGAAAGCCACGGCUAACUACGUGCCAGCAGCCGCGGUAAUACGUAGGUGGCAAGCGUUGUCCGGAAUUAUUGGGCGUAAAGCGCGCGCAGGCGGUCCUUUAAGUCUGAUGUGAAAGCCCACGGCUCAACCGUGGAGGGUCAUUGGAAACUGGGGGACUUGAGUGCAGAAGAGGAAAGCGGAAUUCCACGUGUAGCGGUGAAAUGCGUAGAGAUGUGGAGGAACACCAGUGGCGAAGGCGGCUUUCUGGACUGUAACUGACGCUGAGGCAUGAGAGCAUGGGGAGCAAACAGGAUUAGAUACCCUGGUAGU
This 803-nucleotide ribosomal RNA is filed under the name uncultured bacterium. Its description in RNAcentral is "bacterial SSU rRNA". It matches the Rfam family "Bacterial small subunit ribosomal RNA", at positions 8 to 794 of the family's 1533-position model. The record is from RNAcentral.